Molecule: ribosomal RNA, 464 nt
Filed under: uncultured bacterium
Lineage: Bacteria
Description: partial 16S ribosomal RNA
Rfam family: Bacterial small subunit ribosomal RNA
Source: RNAcentral
GCGAACGCUGGCGGCGUGCUUAACCCCUGCAAGUCGAACGGAAAGGCCCCUUUGGGGGUACUCGAGUGGCGAACGGGUGAGUAACACGUGAGUAACCUGCCCUUGACUUCGGGAUAACUUCAGGAAACUGGGGCUAAUACCGGAUAGGAAUCCUUGCUGCAUGGUGGGGGUUGGAAAGCUUCGGCGGUUUUGGAUGGACUCGCGGCUUAUCAGCUUGUUGGUGGGGUAGUGGCUUACCAAGGCUUUGACGGGUAGCCGGCCUGAGAGGGCGACCGGCCACAUUGGGACUGAGAUACGGCCCAGACGCCUACGGGAGGCAGCAGUGGGGAAGAUUGCACAAUGGGCGGAAGCCUGAUGCAGCAACGCCGCGUGCGGGAUGACGGCCUUCGGGUUGUAAACCGCUUUCAGCAGGGGCGAAGCUUGUGGUGACGGUACCUGCAGAAGAAGCACCGGCUAACUACGUG